This 842-nucleotide long non-coding RNA is filed under the name Pongo abelii (Sumatran orangutan). Its description in RNAcentral is "lncRNA (ENSPPYG00000039166.1)". The record is from RNAcentral. Lineage: Eukaryota; Metazoa; Chordata; Mammalia; Primates; Hominidae.
ACAAAGUCCUGCAGAGGGUGAGACUGGCCUGGUUCCCUGACUCCUGAGUCUCAGCUCUUGCUUCAUAUGGGGUAAGGGAGGGAACAUUUGAACACCUCCCUGGCUAAAACUCCUCAUGAAAUCUUCUACAUGGAUGGAUGACAUGCAGGAAGAAACAUAAGCCAUUUCUACUCAGAGUUCACCAUAUCACUAAGAAUGAUCAGAAUGAUUGUGAAGCACCGGAAAACUCCUAAACAUGAGAAAAAGAAGAUAAUUUAGAGUUUGUUUAUCAGAGCAUCCAGGUCUUAAUGACUGUCUCCCCCCGCCCUCCUCAACAGAAGUAACUGAAGCAAGGCACCUACAAACUCUGCCUCCCUGGCUCAGUAGCCAGUGCUGACCAGCCACAAUUUGAUCCAACUUUUGCUGUCAGAUUUGACGCUACAGUGGAAAGACAGACUCCACCACGCAGAUUCAGGCUCAGUGUGGACUUUGGCAGAGAAUUCUCAGAACCAGAGUGGUGGACAGUCAAUGAGGAAACAAUGCCUGGCAGAUUUCUCAUCUGAGAGGGGCUAGGAUGAAGGAAGGAUAUAAGAUCACUAAAGGAGAAUUUUGGCAGCAGAGGGACAGACAGCUAUGAGGCCUUCCUUGAGCCUUCUUUGGGCACAGAGCCUGUCACACACAGGACCAGGGUUCUACUCCAGUGGCCCUGAUGGCUGACAUCAGGGAGCAGCCAGCCCCUUCCUCGAUUUCCUAGGACCACAUAAGCCCAUGUUAUUAUGUGAUCCCUGGAGAGAGCAUGGGAACCUCAAUGAGGGCUGGGAUCAAAUUCAUUAUGGGAAUGGCAGGUGGGUGCUUUGGGAGGU